Molecule: ribosomal RNA, 497 nt
Filed under: uncultured bacterium
Lineage: Bacteria
Description: partial 16S ribosomal RNA
Rfam family: Bacterial small subunit ribosomal RNA
Source: RNAcentral
GAUGAACGCUGGCGGCGUGCCUAAUACAUGCAAGUCGAGCGAACGGACGAGAAGCUUGCUUCUCUGAUGUUAGCGGCGGACGGGUGAGUAACACGUGGAUAACCUACCUAUAAGACUGGGAUAACUUCGGGAAACCGGAGCUAAUACCGGAUGAUAUUUUGAACCGCAUGGUUCAAAAGUGAAAGACGGUCUUGCUGUCACUUAUAGAUGGAUCCGCGCUGCAUUAGCUAGUUGGUAAGGUAACGGCUUACCAAGGCAACGAUGCAUAGCCGACCUGAGAGGGUGAUCGGCCACACUGGAACUGAGACACGGUCCAGACUCCUACGGGAGGCAGCAGUAGGGAAUCUUACGCAAUGGGCGAAAGCCUGACGGAGCAACGCCGCGUGAGUGAUGAAGGUCUUCGGAUCGUAAAACUCUGUUAGUAGGGAAGAACAUAUGUGUAAGUAACUGUGCACAUCUUGACGGUACCUAAUCAGAAAGCCACGGCUAACUACGUG